Molecule: ribosomal RNA, 1295 nt
Filed under: metagenome
Description: SSU rRNA
Rfam family: Eukaryotic small subunit ribosomal RNA
Source: RNAcentral
UCAGUAGGGGAUCCUAUGGGUCUUCUAACCGGAAUGAGAACAAGCUAAACAGCUUAUCGAGAAUCCAGCAGAGGGCAAGUCUGGUGCCAGCAGCCGCGGUAAUUCCAGCUCUAUAAGCGUAUACCAAAGUUGUUGCAGUUAAAACGCUCGUAGUCGGACUUUGGCGGUUCCGGAAGUGUGCCGCGUCGUGCGGCCGCUUUGCAGGGACUGCUUUUGUGGGUUUCGCGUCAGAUGAGGGCUGUUAAUUCGGUAACGUCUGUACGCAACCACUUUUUACUGUGAGAAAAUCAGAGUGCUCAAAGCAGGCAUUUGCCGUGAAUGUAUUAGCAUGGAAUAAUAGAAUAGGACUCAGUCUUAUUUUGUUGGUUUGUUAGGACCGAGUAAUGAUUAAGAGGGACAGUUGGGGGCAUUUGUAUUUCGGCGCUAGAGGUGAAAUUCUUAGAUUGCCGAAAGACAAACUGCUGCGAAAGCGUCUGCCAAGGAUGUUUUCAUUGAUCAAGAACGAAAGUAAGGGGAUCGAAGACGAUCAGAUACCGUCGUAGUCUUUACUAUAAACGAUGAGGACUGGGGAUCGGGCGAGGAAUUACGAUGACCCGCCCGGCACCCUUCGAGAAAUCAAAGUGUUUGCUUUCUGGGGGGAGUAUGGUCGCAAGGCUGAAACUUAAAGGAAUUGACGGAAGGGCAUCACCGGGUGUGGAGCCUGCGGCUUAAUUUGACCCAACACGGGAAAACUUACCAGGUCAGGACAUAGUGAGGAUUGACAGAUUGAGAGCUCUUUCUUGAUUCUAUGGUUGGUGGUGCAUGGCCGUUCUUAGUUGGUGGAGUGAUUUGUCUGGUUAAUUCCGUUAACGAGCGAGACCUGGGCGUGCUAACUAGGGGCUAUUAUCAUUUUGGUAGUACGUUCCCCUUCUUAGACGGACUGUGGGCGUCUAGCCCACGGAAGCUCCAGGCAAUAACAGGUCUGAGAUGCCCUUAGAUGUUCUGGGCCGCACGCGUGCUACACUGAGUGGAUCAGCGGGUCAGGUUACGCGAGAGCGUUUCCUAAUCUUCAAAUCCGCUCGUGAUGGGGAUUGACGGUUGCAAUUUUCCGUCAUGAACGAGGAAUACCUUGUAAGCGCGGGUCAUCAUCCCGCGCUGAAUACGUCCCUGCCCUUUGUACACACCGCCCGUCGCUCCUACCGAUUGAGUGGUCCGGUGAGGCUUUGGGAUCUAAGCGAAAAGAGCGUUUCGCUCCUUUUGCUGGGAGAACUCAGUCGAACCUUAUCAUUUAGAGGAAGGAGAAGUCGUAACAAGGU